GGGCAGUGCCCGGUACGAAGGUGCGGCCCCGCCGCUGUGUAGCCACAGGUGCGUGUCAGCGGGCCUGAGAGAGGACACAACCCCCCUCCGCCCAAGCUAGUGUAUCAGUCCCUCUCUAUAGCAUGGAAGUGUGAUAACUUGUUAAGCCUGGAGCAGAGCCAGAACUGGCUGCUGCUGGGGGAGCAGGUCAGAGAGGAGCACUGGCAGAAGCAACCUGACCUGCUGGCAGCAGAAUGGAGGAGCUGCAUGCAGGAAGAUAAGGGAGGGAGCAAUGAUCUGUCUGGAGAAGUGGGAUUUCAGUGCAGCUCCAAGCACAGAUGCACCGCCAGCAUGGGACAGCCUCAAUGUGUUUGCCACAGGGAAAUGAGUUGGCUCUGGAAGUGGAUCUUUCUGACAACCAUACACUUUUCCUGUUUCCACCCCACUUAGGUGGCUCAUGAAUGGAUCUCAGACAAGUCCUUGUGAUCAUGUAAGGAAGGAGCUAUUUAUGAGUGCAAAGGGAGAGUGUAACUGCACUAGUCAUGACUGACUUCAGUUUAAGAGACAUGUACCUGGAUACAUUUGUGAGCAUCACCUGGAGCUCAUCAGCAGAAGGUCACUUGGGCUGUCACAAGGCUGCCUGUGCAUGACUUUGCUCCUCUGUGAAAUGGAAGCAUUCAUAUGGAGAACAAAAGUAAUGUUGCUGCUCAGGGAAGAGAGAUUUUUCCUCAAGAACAUUAAAUGCAGGGGGAUUAUUUCACAAAAUUCUUAGCACAAAUGUUUUAAGCUAUCAGCACCUUGUUAAUAAAUAAUGCUAUGUGAAGUCCUAUUAAAAUACA
This 818-nucleotide long non-coding RNA is filed under the name Cyanistes caeruleus (blue tit). Its description in RNAcentral is "lncRNA (ENSCCEG00000012260.1)". The record is from RNAcentral. Lineage: Eukaryota; Metazoa; Chordata; Aves; Passeriformes; Paridae.